CUUUCCUUGUGAAGCUAACCUUCUGAAUCAAAGUGUCCCAGUGAACAACUUAAUUCUUCAGCCAACAGUGCUUUUUAUUCAAAAAUCUCCAGAGGCGCUAGUGCAAAGCAGAUUUGAACCUGCCCUAAAUAAACUGAGGAGUCCCCUGAUUGUGUUCUACACUCUGCUGCACAGUCCCUGUGUAGCAAGGUGAAGUAGGUGUGGGGUCUGGACAGGGAGAUGGCCAGUGCCCUGCAGAGCACCUCUGAUAAAUGUCUCCAUGUCCAGCAGCGCUGUGGAGCACAGGAGAUGUGACUCAUGUGCGUUUCCAGCCAGCAGCACUGAUGCUAAAAAAUCCUGCUCUUUUGCCUUCCCCUUGUCCCAGCUGUUCAGGGGCUUCGGGUCUCUGUGGUGAUUCAGGCAGUCUCCAGCUAGCCCAGAGAAGGAGGAGUGGGGAAUGAAGCAACAAGGAGAGGACCCAUGGGUCACCUCAUGACGUGCAAGCAGUGCUCACCAGUGCUGGGCCUGCACCUGAGCAAUUGCCUUAGAGGUGAUUGAGCAGCAAGAAGGAACACGGCGGUGGCUGCCAGCCCAGAAACCGUGCACCCAACAGCUUCUGCUGAGACUGCUGCGUUCAACUCCCUGCCCCGGCAUGGGGAUAGCUUCUGUAGAAAUACUGCAUUCGGUUUUCUGCCCCUAAAUGGUUUGGGAUCAGAAUUUGCUUUCUUUAGUCUUACUGGUAAGGAAACAACUCUUCUGCCAUUAAGCUGCUUGUGAGAGGAGGAGUGGCCAUGCUGGCACAAGAAAAAGUCUGAAAGGAUUUCUUCCACGUCUGAAGUGUUAGAGAAUUAGGCAAGGGGAGAUGGAUGGAUACUAAUGUGGCCACUGGAGGGCAGCGUCAAAACUCACAGCUGCCCAGUACAACCCCACCUCUCCCUGCACAUUUCAUUUCAGGCUCUUCUCGUCAAACGUUUCCCUUUUUUUCCCCGGGUUCCUUCUCCUCUCUCCCCACCACUCGCACCCAGCAUCUCUUCCAGCACCCAGGACUGCAGCUCCCCAAUUUUCUCCCCACUGACGCCACCCUUACACCAGCCUGGUGUAAGGGUUUUGGACACACAACGGGCACUGGGGGUGUUUGGGAUGAAAGGCGGCUGAGAGCGCCUAGCAGCAGAAGUGUGAUGUGUGUGGCGGAGCUGGCAGACGUCUUAGGGGCUAACUUCUUCUGAAGAGCCCUUGUAAAGAAUUGCAUGGAUUUUGCAUGAAAAAGAAAGGAAAGGAAAGUUUAUGGCUGUACAUGGCAAAGAAACAAAUGGCACUCAUGGCAAAUCCCAGUGUGGGGAGCGGCUCAGUUGGUUUAUAACUUAGUCCUCAUCUGAAAGAGUUUUUGAAAAGCACCAUUACUUUUCAGUGACAUGAGGUAGGAUUUCAGCAGUGCUUUCAACUAUUUGUCUUCGUCUGAAGUAAGAGUUCUGCUUCCAGGUAAAAUAACAGAAAACAUGUAUACUUACC
Molecule: long non-coding RNA, 1488 nt
Organism: Anser brachyrhynchus (Pink-footed goose)
Lineage: Eukaryota; Metazoa; Chordata; Aves; Anseriformes; Anatidae
Source: Ensembl